GUGCAUGUUGGAUUGUAUGCUAGAUGAAAUGCAUAUUGAUAUAAGAUAAAAAUGCUAGAUAAUAUGCAUGUUGAUGUAUUGCAGAUUAUGCUUGAUUCAUAUGAGUUGGACACGGGUCGAUAACUCUAGGGUGAUUAGAGAACUCGACAAUGGAAAAUAAAAAUAUGGAAUACUCGAUUUGGACAACUAGGAUGUCAAAUAGAUCGAGUGGCAUUGAACCUAGUGUUAAUAAGCAUAGGUUGGACAUGAAUGAUAUUGAACCUAGUGUUAGUAAACAUAGGUUGGAAUCAUGAGUGGCAUUAAACCUAGUGUUAG
RNAcentral lists this long non-coding RNA (315 nucleotides) under Ananas comosus (pineapple). RNAcentral describes it as "long non-coding RNA (ACOM_LNC042551)". Lineage: Eukaryota; Viridiplantae; Streptophyta; Magnoliopsida; Poales; Bromeliaceae. The record is from RNAcentral.